AUAAAAAUGAAGACCCCCAAAACAAUAAUUUAUUUAGAAGUAUUCCAAUAUAAAGUCAAUGGGGUCAUAAAUAAUCCCACUUGGUCAUAUUAGUCGCAAAAAUAGCUUGGUCACUUGGGGGUUAACACACUGUAGCCAGGCU
Molecule: long non-coding RNA, 142 nt
Organism: Thalassophryne amazonica
Lineage: Eukaryota; Metazoa; Chordata; Actinopteri; Batrachoidiformes; Batrachoididae
Exons: 3
Source: RefSeq, a predicted model, not a curated record